CACUAUAAAAGAAUAUAACGAAAACGACACGUUACGGAAGUCGUUUUUCAUCUUCGAAAUCGUUUUUCGUUAAGUGAAAUGACCAAAUUGAAGCUCGUUUAAAAUUCUGCAAUGAGUGGGAUAUUGCACUGCGUCAUAUUCGAAAAAUGUGGUAUCGUCGCAUCAAUUCUUCGUCGUGGUUUUUUUUACAAAAAUGGUAAUAAAAAUAUUAAAAUGUUAUUCUCAAUUAAAGAAAACAGUGCUCUUUCGUUUUUAUCAAGAAUUCAUCAAAGUGGUUUUACGUAUUCGAAAUAGUUUAAAUUCAAAUAUUGUCGACAAACGGAAAGUUCGUUGUGCACUUUCGUUGUUACAUGAAAUGACCGGGUUGAAGCACAUUGUUUUAACUAGGUCAUUCUCAAUACAAGGAGCUCAUAUAAUUGCACGGCGUAAUCUUUGCAAAAUGCCGUUAAGAUGUAUCGUCUUCUCUCAACCGAAUGAUAAAAAAUGCAUUAAAUGAAAACGACGUUAUUCGUAACUUCUAAAAUAACCAACCUUCGUCUUCGUCGAUAAAAAGAAAUUUAUCGAAGUGAUUUAGCAUCUUCGAAAUCGAUUGAUUGAAUUCAGUUAUGGUCGAAAAUCGGUACGUUUGUUCUGCACGUUUUUUUUCUUGACAGAUGAAAUGACCUGGUCGGAUUUUCUCGAUUUUUUCAUCCGAUUUUCGAACACAUAUUGUCGGGAAAAAUGUCAAAUUUCCACCAGCCGUCUUCCAAAAAAGUAACUUCCGUUAGUUUGGCAAGACGUCUUCGAAAAUUGCAAGUCGAUUCCACCAUUUCGCCGGAAAGUCUUCGAAACAAACAGUAACUUGAUGCGGAAAUUGAAUCCCGCCAUUUGCGCUUAACGAUGAUGGCUGUCAACUUGAAGUGACUGGGUUGAAGGGUGAAGCUUGGUCACUUUAACUUUAAACAAAACGAGUGGCAAAUAAAGAUAAAAAAUGAUCUCCAUCCUCCAAAACAAAUACAACUGAGCGACUGAAUUGCGUCGUCCUCGAUAGGCCGAGAGGUGUCUAGACGUUUUAUCUUCAAGUGAAAUGGCUGGGUUGACGGCGCUGUUUCCACCCGGUCGCUUUCAAUACAACGAUUACACACACCACGUGGUCUUGGCAAAAUCACAAACUUUGCCAUUCAUUAAUGUAUUACAAAAAAAUUAAACGGAAACAGAUUUCGUACUCGUCAUCGGUAACGCAAUUGCGGUACGCUUUAUUGAACAAAAUUUACGAAACGUACGAAACGAUUCCCCAAAUGCGUCAUCUUCAAACAAACAAUUUAUUUUCCAUAAAAUCUCGAGAGUUUGCCUCCUGAAAAAUCCACUGGAACGGUCGCACAACGCUCCGAUAUCGUUGCAAAACCGCCAAAUCAAUAAAGAUAUACAUGUAUCCAUGAAAGAAAUGCACAGAUUCGGCAAACUUAAGUUGCUUUUUGUUUGGUUUGGUUGUUUUUCCCGAACGCUUCAGCCACAGUGAGUUUACGAUCAGUCGAUUAACGCAUGGCAUUUGUCAUCAGAUAUUGUCGAUUUCUGUUGUCAUGUGUAAGGUUUUGUCCCGUGUAAAAGUGCUUUAUAAAAGGCCUGAACACAAGUCCAACUUGCUGUUUAUAAUUUUUUUCAGCAAAGUAAACUUCAAAGUUACUGUGAAUUUACAAUCAGUAGAUCACCGUCGAAUAUUUGUGUACAUUAUAAAAUUGUAAAAUUUAUAAUCUACAUAAAAUGUAAAACUGCCGUAUUAACAUCCUGAAUCUAAGCCCGACCGAACCUGCAAAGAUCGGCAAAUCGAUUUUUAUUAUUUGUUUAGGGCAAAGUACCGGCUUUACCUAGCGGGAGUUCGCGAUUAGUUGAUUGACGCAUGGCAUUUUUAAUCUAAUAUUCUUCCAGAUUAUAAUUUGUCACGUACAUGUAUGAGGUUGUUUCCCACGUAAAAGCUAUAAAGCAGUUCUGAACGUAAUUCCGACCUGCAAAGAUCGACAGAUUAGCGUUUUAAUUUUUCCUGUGAAGUAACGCUUUUGUCACUUUGCGAUCAGUCGAUUAACUAGGACAUUUUUCAUCGAUAUUCUUGUGGAUUUUAAAUUGGUUUUACGUGUAAGAUUGUAUCCCAUGUAAAUCUGCUUUAUAAAAGCCCUGAACGUAAUUCCGACCUGCAAAGAUCGGCAAAAACAUUUCUUGCAGCAAAGUUACGCUUUGGUGACUGUGAGUUUACGACCAGUCAAUUGACGCAUGACAUAUUUUGUCAUCAAAACGUACAAGGUUGUUUCCCAUGUAAAUCUGCCGCAUAAAGACCGUGUCCCCGACAGUGCGAAUGGCCUUACCAACAGUCCCUUGAUCACUGAUGCCUACACCGGUCGGCCACAUCUGAAUGUUGUCUUGGUCAUAAUUGUCCCGUGUUGUGGAUUGAUGUUGAGGGCGCCAUCAACACCUGCGGUGCCGCAUUAUUAAACAUCACAGCGCNCAGCGCAGCUCUUGGGAGGCAGAAUGUAUUGCUGCCUGAAAGCUUUGAAUUCGACCUCUUCCUGGUCCAUCUAAGAAGAUAACCAGGAGGGAAUCCUAUAUUUUAUCAUAGUAUUACACCAACGAUUGUGGCUAGGCUUAUUGUGGUUAGGCUUAGUGUGAUUUACUAUUUUAAACGAAGGUAGCUAGGCGUACUAGAAAAAAAAAAGAAAUCAGUAAGGCUUAUAUGAAUUGUUAGGGCCUGACCUAAAAGUAAUGUGGCAGACUUUGUUCUGAUAAUGAAUUAGAGUUAUAUAUACUAACUCCAGCCAGGUGUGAUAAGCGUUUCUUUUUUUCAUCUCAACAGUGAGACCUACCGUAUAAGGUCCCUAUGUGUCUCGCAGAGGGAAGAGAGAUCGUCUUCAAGAUGGGUUUCUGGAAUGGCGAUAACCGAUUAGAGCAAUUGAGAGCUGGAUGCUGAGUUUCCCCGUUUGAUUUGCCCUCCUUCUGGAACUUUGGUGGUAAGUCUCCAAAAUCACAACACUGGAAAAUGUUCAUUUUGCUCACUUUCCUCUGUUUUUCCCGUUUUCCAAAAUGCAGAGCUUUGCGGGCAGCAUCGAGGUGGUUUUCCACAUCAGCAAAACCUGGGUUAGUGGACUAUAGGAGCAGAAUUCGUCUUGCUGAACACCACAACCCACGGAAGUCGGCCUGAUGCACCCUUCACCAGUUUUUACCUCCAGACCCAUCAAAUGGACAGCUCUCAAGACGGACCUCUUGGAAGACGACGAGCGAUUGCAAACCAGAAAGAACUGGAUGGCGACUGUCACACCCUGCUUGAUUUGCAUGUCAUUUGGACUUCUGAGGGUUCUUGAGGACCGCCUCGACCCGAAGACACCAGCGGCUGAUCGUCGAACAAGACAUGGAGCUGCUCCAACUUGUCCUACUCUGCUUGCUACACGUUCACUUAACAUUCCAAAGAAUGAAUGUUCACUGUAUUUUUGUGAACACUCACUCUCAUUGAAACUAAGGACAAGACAGAGUCGAGAGGAAUGUCUUCCCUCCGAUAGAUUAAGAUUGCACUCGUGGCCCUCCAAGGAGUGGCAUAGUGGCUCUUUUAAAAACUAUUUUCACCAAAAUUCAAUUUUUUUCCACUCUGACUUGUCUUGUCCUUAGUUUCAAUCUUUUAAAAUAAGAAAGUUGGUUCGUUGGUCAAACAUUUACGCACAUUUUGAUUAAUUGGUUGAAUUGAGAAUUCAACUUGUCAAUAUUUAUGGCAACAAUUCUUUCCCGUUAAUACCGAUAAACCAAUCCAAGCUUAUUAAAAGCUGAUAGCAAUCAUGAUAUCAAAAAGAGGUUGCCCAAAAGAGUGUUUAAAUAUCAUUGAACUUUGAGUCCAAGUGUGUGUAAACGUUCGGAAAAGCUGUAUCUACUGUUGUUGUUAGGUUUUGGAAAAAAUCAUGCUUAUGAAAAAAAUCUGAAACUAUUUCCUGUUAAAACACUUAUGUCAUAAGCCCACGUAAGACGCCCAGGUAGAGACUGGAUGGAACAAUUCAUUCUAACUGCUGUUUCGAAAUAUUAUUGCAUUCCCACUAAAUUGCAAAUUCGUUCGCUUGAAUUACUCCAGUAAAUUGCACAAAUUGGUAAUUCAUUCCUAUGAAUUACUAAUUUGUUCGCAGACUCCAGUGAUCCGUUUGUAAAGAUUAGUAAUUCGUUCUUAUGAAUUACUAAUUAGUUUGCUUGAAUGACUCUAGUAAUUUGUUUUCCUCCACAAAUUACUAAUUCAGUCACAAAUUACUCCAGUAAUCCAAGCGCAGAAAUUAGUAAUUUGUCCCUGUUAAGACUAAUUCGUUUGCACAAAUGUAUCAUUUGUUCACACGAAUAUCUUAAGUAAUUUGUUUACGAAUUAGUAAUUUGUUCCCACAAAUUAUUAAUUUGUUCAACGAAUCACUCCAGUAAUUUAUUUGUAUAAAUUACUCCAGCACAUAAUUUACACAAAUCAGUAAUUCUUUUCUACGAAUUACUAAUUUGUUCCCACAAUUUACUAAUUUCUUCGCACGAAUUACUCCGGUAAUUUCUUUUCACAAUUUGUUCCAACGAAUUAUUAAUUCGUUCACAAGAAUUGUUAAUUCAUUGAACGAAUUAAUUUGUUCCAAUAAUUGUUAUACACAAAUGAGUAAUUCUUUGUUACGAAUUACUCAUUUGCAUGCACAAAUUACUUCAGUAAUUCAUAAAGCGUUAGUAAUUUAUUCCCAUAAAUUACUAACUCGUUUUCUAGAAUUACUGAUUUUUUGCACGAAAUACUUAUUCGUUAGCAACAACCACGCCAGUUAUUUGUACGAAUAACUGAAUUGUUGGAGCGAAUUAGUUAAGUCAUUCGUUUGCACAAUUAAUAUUCGUUCCAGCGAAUUACACCAGUAAUUAUACGAACGAAUGAUGUUAUUUGUGUGAACGAAGUAGUAAUCCGAGCGGACUAAUUUUAUUCUUGGAAUGGAUUAGUACUUGUUACAAGUGAAAUGACAAAGUAAAUAAAGGUCCAUCCAGUUCCUUCAUGGGCUUCAUUAUUGUGUAAACAAAUAUUGUUGUGUAAACAAAUAUAUUGAUGCCACAGAGCCGUAUUGGUUAAUUAAUGAAUUUGGUUUAUUCAAAUUACAGUGUUUCUCUUAUUAACGUCACAAAAAGCCAUGAUGGACUGUUUACAGUGUUAAUACCUUGUAAUAUCUUCUUGGAGAUUAUUUCAAAUUGUUUACUUUGAUAAGUAUUCUGUUCCAAAAUUGAUUUAUAUAUAAUUAAGGAUCACUGGUAACUUGUUAACGUUCUGACUGCCUUGAAUACUUCAACGAAACCAGCGUUGAUAUAGAUCCUUCAAUAUCUUGAACAAUGGCUAAAUGCAAGUUUUGGAAAGGAUUGAUUUGGAAUUGUCCGUCUCUAGUGUUGUUUACUUUCCUGUACGGGUGUUAUAGUCUAUCUUGUGAGAAUAGCGACAAAGUAUGUUUCAAUUGGAACUUGGUAUAAUCUGAGAAUGUAUCUCCUAAUUGAAAACAAGGGCCCAAAAUUACUAAAAGGCGCUGGCCGAAACACGACCAAAGUUGGAUCUUUGCUCCACAAAUUUCACAAAACGUUAGAUUUGUAUUGAAAUGUUAAAGUACAUCAACAAUGUCUUGAUUUCCAAGACAAAGAAAGAUAUCAGAAUUUAAAUAAAAUAAGAAUUAGAGAUAA
RNAcentral lists this long non-coding RNA (5670 nucleotides) under Acanthaster planci (crown-of-thorns starfish). Its description in RNAcentral is "uncharacterized LOC110974331, transcript variant X2". Lineage: Eukaryota; Metazoa; Echinodermata; Asteroidea; Valvatida; Acanthasteridae. The record is from RNAcentral.